CUGCCGGUCGCAGAAUCGCUGUCGCAGCUCACAUACAGGAGGCCCGCCCUAUUGUAGGGCGUUGUGCCCUCCCCCCUCCGCUGUGGGGAAAGUCCCCGGAGACAAGGCAGAGCGUGCACCCACCGCGCACGCGGAAAGCGACUGCCCUUAGGCACGGUGGUCGCGGUGGGGGCGGCUGGCGAUCAGUGCGUCCUCGAUGAUGCUCCCGCCAGCCACUCUGCCCGCCCCCCUGACGCGCCUAUGCUCGGCGACGGUGCGCGCGAGCGAAGAUACGAGCACGCGCGUGCUCGGGCGUGGGCGCGGAGGGGGAGGCAUCUGUUGCUCAUAGACAUAGUUAUGCGAUUGUUGGCGCGCGUUCGUCGACCUAGUGUUCGGCGCUCGCGCGCCUUCAACUCAAUGGGGCUCACUCGCGACCGGCA
This 419-nucleotide RNase MRP RNA is filed under the name Schizophyllum commune H4-8. Its description in RNAcentral is "RNase MRP". It matches the Rfam family "RNase MRP". Rfam says of the family: RNase MRP is an enzymatically active ribonucleoprotein with two distinct roles in eukaryotes. The record is from Rfam by way of RNAcentral. Lineage: Eukaryota; Fungi; Basidiomycota; Agaricomycetes; Agaricales; Schizophyllaceae.